GAUGAACGCUGGCGGCGUGCCUAAUACAUGCAAGUCGAACGAAACUUCUUUAUCACCGAGUGCUUGCACUCACCGAUAAAGAGUUGAGUGGCGAACGGGUGAGUAACACGUGGGCAACCUGCCCAAAAGAGGGGGAUAACACUAGGAAACAGGUGCUAAUACCGCAUAACCAUAGUUACCGCAUGGUAACUAUGUAAAAGGUGGCUAUACUACCGCUUUUGGAUGGGCCCGCGGCGCAUUAGCUAGUUGGUAGGGUAAAGGCUUACCAAGGCAAUGAUGCGUAGCCGAAUUGAGAGGUUGAUCGGCCACAUUGGGACUGAGACACGGCCCAAACUCCUACGGGAGGCAGCAGUAGGGAAUCUUCCACAAAGGGCGAAAGCCUGAUGGAGCAACGCCGCGUGGGUGAAGAAGGUCUUCGGAUCGUAAAACCCUGUUGUUAGAGAAGAAAGUGCGUGAGAGUAACUGUUCACGUUUCGACGGUAUCUAACCAGAAAGCCACGGCUAACUACGUG
Molecule: ribosomal RNA, 512 nt
Filed under: uncultured bacterium
Lineage: Bacteria
Description: partial 16S ribosomal RNA
Rfam family: Bacterial small subunit ribosomal RNA
Source: RNAcentral